RNAcentral lists this ribosomal RNA (469 nucleotides) under Catonella morbi. Its description in RNAcentral is "bacterial SSU rRNA". It matches the Rfam family "Bacterial small subunit ribosomal RNA", at positions 28 to 497 of the family's 1533-position model. The record is from RNAcentral. Lineage: Bacteria; Bacillati; Bacillota; Clostridia; Lachnospirales; Lachnospiraceae.
GAUGAACGCUGGCGGCGUGCCUAACACAUGCAAGUCGAACGGAGAUUACGGACGGAAGUUUUCGGAUGGAAGACUGUAAUUCUUAGUGGCGGACGGGUGAGUAACGCGUGGGCAACCUGCCCUAUACAGGGGGAUAGCAGCUGGAAACGGCUGGUAAGACCGCAUAAGUCGGCGAAACCGCAUGGUUUUGCCGGGAAAUGAGCAAUCAGGUAUAGGAUGGGCCCGCGUCCGAUUAGCCAGUUGGCAGGGUAAAAGCCUACCAAAGCAACGAUCGGUAGCCGGACUGAGAGGUCGGACGGCCACAUUGGGACUGAGACACGGCCCAAACUCCUACGGGAGGCAGCAGUGGGGGAUAUUGCACAAUGGAGGAAACUCUGAUGCAGCGACGCCGCGUGAGUGAAGAAGUAUUUCGGUAUGUAAAGCUCUAUCAGCAGGGAAGAUGAUGACGUACCUGACUAAGAGCCCCGCA